This 705-nucleotide ribosomal RNA is filed under the name uncultured SA2 group euryarchaeote. RNAcentral describes it as "bacterial SSU rRNA". It matches the Rfam family "Archaeal small subunit ribosomal RNA", at positions 595 to 1303 of the family's 1478-position model. The record is from RNAcentral. Lineage: Archaea; Methanobacteriati; Methanobacteriota.
GGGACCGGGAGAAGUCGGAGGUACUCUUGGGGUAGGGGUAAAAUCCUAUCAUCCUGAGGACCACCUGUGGCGAAAGCGUCCGACUAGAACGGCUCCGACGGUGAGGGACGAAAGCUUGGGUCGCGACCCGGAUUAGAUACCCGGUUAGUCCAAGCCGUAAACAAUGCCCGUUUGGUGUAUCAUAUCCUAUGGGGAUGUGAUGUGCCGGAGCGUAGGUGUUAAACGGGCCGCCUGGGGAGUACGACCGCAAGGUUUAAACUUAAGGGAAUUGGCGGGGGAGCACCACAAGCGGUGGAGGCUGCGGUUUAAUUGGAUUCAACGCCAGAAAUGUUACCAGAGGCGACAGCAUGAUGAAGGUCAGCCUGAAGGGCUUACCUGAAGCGCUGAGAGGAGGUGCAUGGCCAUCGUCAGCUCGUACUGUGAAGCAUCCGGUUAAGUCCGGUAACGAGCGAGACCCACACCCUUAGUUGCCAGGUCACUCUCCGGAGUGACGGCACUCUAAGGGAACCGCCUUCGAUAAGAAGGAGGAAGGAAUGGGCGACGGUAGGUCUGUAUGCCCCGAAUCCUCUGGGCUACACGCGGCCUACAAUGGUCGGUACAGAGGGAUGCAACUCCGGAAGGAGGAGCCAAUCCCUAAAUCCGACCUCAGUUCGGAUCGAGGCUUGAAACUCAGCCUCGUGAAGCCGGAAUCGNUAGUAGCGCUGG